AUGGGUUUUGAGAUUGUGGUUUCAGAUAUGUGCUUUCUAAAAUUUGUGAGAUUUAUUGAUGUGGGCUUCUGAAAUUUGUGGAAAUGCGAAGAUUUAUGUAAAUGUUCUGAGGGUUGUAUUUGUGAGAUUUAUUAGAAAUCCCAUUAAUGGACAGAUUGCUGGAUGGAUAACCCAUUUUCAAGCAGGACUACGGCGUUGAUAAAGAUGCUUAUUUCUCAAAUAAGAUUUGAUUGGGUUCUUCUAUUAUGCUGGGUUCCUUGUUGAAGUUAAAUUGUUUGACUACACAGCGAGUUUCCUGCUUGUAAAACUUGGGGAAAAAAAAACAGAAGUAAUCCGAUGCUGUUUAAUAUUAUUUUCCUUCUUGAAUUGGGAGAUUCGAUGAAAGAAAUAUAAGGAUUGUAUCUCAUUUUAGGAGCUUUUGAAGCCUAGUCUCUUCUUGACUGCAUUUGUUCUUGCCUAGAUUAUGUCCAAUACUUGGCAAGUUAUUGACAAUUUUCAAUGUUCAAUGCAGAUAUUUGCUCAUAUUGGAUCGGACAAACUGGAGAACGAACAUGCUGACCUCACUCCUAGUCCCUUACAUUUUCUUUAGUCUUCCUGCAGCAAUAUUUAAUUUGUUAAGAGGGGAGGUCGGGAAAUGGAUUGCUUUCAUUGCAGUGGUGCUCAGGCUUUUCUUUCCUUGACACUUCCCAGGUUUGGGUAGUAUACUGCUAGUUCUCCUGUCAAUAGUCCCAAGGUUAGAAAUUAUUUAUAUGUUUUUUCUUUUAGUUAAAAAUAUAUUCUUUUUUAGUUAACCCCUUUUGUUUAUGCACAGAUUUAUGAUCUGAUUAUGAUGAACCAGUUAAACAAGAACACAAAACAGAGAGAAAAAAUGGGUGUUAUUUCAUCAUCACCAUCACUGCAGGAGAAAGAAGGAAGAAAGCCGAUCACAGAGCAGAGAGAAGAGAGAAGAGAGGAUUUGGGUUUAAUUGGGAGCGAAAGUGACAUCACAGAACUGAAGAAAAUGGGUCUUUGUUUAGUUCCUUUGUCUAUGGCUGUGAAUUAUUUUGGUUGAGUUUUAGAUUUUGUUUCUUUCUCUGUCUCUCCAUCCAUCCAUGGAUUUAUUGAUGGAACAUUGAAAAUGGCUUUCUGCAGAAAAAAAAAAAUUGUAUAUAUAAUAAGAUUAAGAUCCAUCAUUUUCUGCAGCAGCAUUUGAUAUGCAUAUGUAUAUUAAUUUCAUGCAGAACUUCUAACAUCUUUGUGGAAUUUUUAUUUAUUUAAUGGAAAUAUGAUAAUCCAAGUAAUUCUUAUGGACAGGGAAA
Manihot esculenta (cassava) is the source of this 1298-nucleotide long non-coding RNA. RefSeq lists it as uncharacterized. The record is from RefSeq and is a predicted model, not a curated record. Lineage: Eukaryota; Viridiplantae; Streptophyta; Magnoliopsida; Malpighiales; Euphorbiaceae. The transcript has 4 exons.